GGGAGCGCGGCCCAGCACCCGGGGCGAGUUCGCGGCGCCGCCUCCCCGCCUCCCGCCCGGAGCUUCCCAGGCCCCAGAAUCCCGGAGGGGCGCGAUGGCAAGCGCUGGCAGAGGCCGGUGCGAUCGGGCACACAGCUCCCCCGCCCCCGCGCCCCGCGGGGACUGUCACCUUUCGUUUGGGGAAGCGAGACGGAAGCGCAAGGAAAGGCAGCAGUUCCUUGUCCACAAUGGGGUUACCUGAGUUGAGCUCUUUGCUGAGGAGACUCUCGUCUGGAUGAGGCUGCAGCAUCCUGAGUUUGGGGAGGCCCCAGGUCAGGCCCCUCAAGGUGCAUGUGCUGUCCUCUGGUGCUGUAGGUUUUGUUCAGUAGGACGGCUGGACUCUAGAAGAUGUGCCGCAGAGAAGAUAGUCAGAUGCCCAAACUGCCAAGAAGACUCGGACCAGAGCACCUGCCUAGAAGAAAUAGGAACCUGAACUGCAGGGAAGAGGUUAGACAACUGAGGCACCUGGAAGGGCGCUCUCCAACAUGCGGAAUGGCCUGUAGGCUGUGCAGACAGUGUGCUCCAUGUUCUCAGCUUUGUAAGCUGCUUCCCAUGCUUGGGUGAGCAUUUGUCUUUGAGUUAUUUCUGCUCCUGUAAGUAACCCCUCACCCAUAUCCCUCUAAGGAACUCUAAUAAAACUCUUUAGUUUUCUACAUUGGA
Molecule: non-coding RNA, 699 nt
Organism: Myodes glareolus (Bank vole)
Lineage: Eukaryota; Metazoa; Chordata; Mammalia; Rodentia; Cricetidae
Source: RefSeq, a predicted model, not a curated record